AUGAUUACGGCUAUCAAAGCUCAACGAGAAGAUUGGCUAGAGCACCGAUCUGGACACUCAAACGUUGCAGCUGACAGGAGCUCAUGGACACAGUUAUGGAAGGUGAAAGUGCCAUCCAAAAUUCGUGUUUUCGUGUGGCGACUCGCUCACACUUCGCUUCCCACGGGUCUGGUCCGGCACCAGAGGAAGAUGGCAGACAAUCCUAUCUGCUCUAUAUGCAAUGCAGCGGAGGACUCAUGGAGGCAUUCACUUUUAAGCUGUACAAUGGCCAGGUGCGUGUGGGCGCUGGGAGACGAUGAGUUGCUCGAGCAUGUGAUAUCGAACCAAAAUGAGGAUGCCAGGCUCUGGCUUUUCUGGCUCUUAGAGACCACAAACCAACAUGACCUUGCUCGUGUUCUGGUGACCAUGUGGGCGAUAUGGUGGGCUCGGAGAAAGGCUAUCCAUGACAAUGAAUUUCAGAGUCCGUUAUCAACGCUUUGCUUCAUCAAGAGAUAUUUAGAUGUCAGGACAUCAAGACCAUUUUUAGGGAGGGCGGAUCGGCCCCGUGCUAAAGCGUGGUUACCACCUACGGGAGAGGCGGCAAAACUAAAUUGUGACGGAGCUCUUUCCACCUUGGGAGAAAGGGGAGCUGCUGCAGCGGUAUGUAGGGACAAGGCAGGAAUCUAUCUGGGAGCAUCAGCAGUGGUUUAUGAUGGCAUGAUUGACCCAGCGAGCCUGGAGGCGCUAGCUUGUAGCGAAGCCCUCACCCUUGCUCGGGAUUUAAACUUGCAAGACUUGGAGAUAGCCUCAAACUGUCAGGAGGUGAUAUCGCACAUCAGAGAUGGAUGGGCGCCGAUCUAUGCUCCUAUCCUUAGGGAAAUUCAAUUUAGUAGGAAUGAUUUUACUUCUGUUACUUUCCGUUUUGAAUAUAGGGAGAAUAAUUUUGAGGCUCACUCGCUAGCUAAAGGAGCUGCGUCUCUUGCGGUGGGUGUUGGAAAUAUGCCUUAG
RNAcentral lists this ribosomal RNA (987 nucleotides) under Triticum aestivum (bread wheat). RNAcentral's name for it is "partial small subunit ribosomal RNA". Lineage: Eukaryota; Viridiplantae; Streptophyta; Magnoliopsida; Poales; Poaceae. The record is from RNAcentral.